Molecule: long non-coding RNA, 1618 nt
Organism: Lycium ferocissimum
Lineage: Eukaryota; Viridiplantae; Streptophyta; Magnoliopsida; Solanales; Solanaceae
Exons: 3
Source: RefSeq, a predicted model, not a curated record
UUUGUAGGAAGUGGAAAGGGGAUGAGUGUUUCGGGGAGCUUUUGGAUUGGGUGGCGUGGCAAGAUUUCAUAUUUAUGUUUCAUAAAAAUUGAAGUCUUGCCAAUACCGGCCAUUCCAAUGGCUUCCCAUCAUUUCUCCCUUUCCUUUUUCUCCACAAUAUGUUUAUGUUGCAGGCGUACACUUGUUCAAGUGCUGUUUCUGAUGCAUCAAUCAUGGCUGUUACUGUUCUCAUGCUAUUUUUUUCUUGAUCAGGAAUUUGGCAGUAGCACUAGCAGGAGCAUCACCAGUUCAUUGCAUUAAUCAACCUUAUCUUAACUUCUUAUGCUUUACCAACUACAUCUCAGUGAGUGCUUUAAAAGAUUUGGAGUUUUGGACCAGGCCACUGUUUGAUAUGCUGACCCCUUUAUCCACACAAUUGCUUUACAAAGUAGUGAAGUAUGAUAAAAACUCUUCCACUGGAAUUACUUUGCCUGGUGUCCAAUAGAAAUCUUUUACAGAUUAAAAGGAAAAACUCUUAUUCUCCGAACUAUCUUCAUAUGACUAAAUUGAUCAAGAAUCACACUAUAGCCGUACCAUCCUCUUUAUUUUGUCUUGAUAUUCAUCUAUAUUUUUAAUUCGAUAGGUAAGUCAUAUUCUCUUUGAAUGUGCCCUUGGUGGAUGAGAGCUUAUUGUGCGAACUGCAAAGGUUACAGUGCAGCUGAGAAAGGUCUAAGCUCUUAGCAGAGGUUCUUUUGUCCCCUUGAAAACCAUCAAAUGUAAUCUUCCAUUGGUCUAUUUUUUCUUCUUACAUCUGAUAAAAGAAUGAGAACCAAGCUCUGUGCAAAUAAUUAAGAGUUGCUGCAGAAAACCUCAUUUUCUGUUGUUUCCUGUUGUGGCCUUAUUGUGGCCUUUUUAUGAUGUGAAUGGUAACCUUGUUCAAGGGACUAUGAGUACACAGUUAGUCGGGUGAUGGAAAAGAGACCCCGUCAACCUAAAUGGGAGGUCAUGCCCAAAUUUCACUAAGGCAUGAUGGCACCUAACACAAUCUGUUUGGCGAAUCAAUCAACACGCAUACACCCGAAACAGGAGACAAUAUCAUAAAAAUAUAGUUCAGGUUGGAACCCGAGGAGCUGGGGUGAAUUUCCUUGUGCCGAGGGUUUACCGGAAACAGCCUGCCUCCUUGCCUCCUUACCUCCCAAGAUAGGGGUAAGGUCAUGCGUACACUCUACCCUCUCUAGAACUCGUUAUGUGGGAUUUCUAACGGUAUGUUGUUGUAUUGUUUAAGCUCACAUGUUCAGGAUGCACUACAGUUUUUUGAGAACUGUCUCAGGGUAAGAUGAGAAGGCUGAGUCUAUGAACUUGUUGGAUCAUUUGAUAGUGUGAUAUUUGGUGCAGGACCUGUUGAGGGUGGUCCAGUAACUGAUCCAUGAUUUCUAUAUCAUUUCGGCUCUGUUCAGCUGGGGUGAGCCAUCACUAGUCCGUGCAGGCCAUUCCAGUUCUAUCUUAUCUUUCUUAUUUUGGACCAUGCCUAGGCAGUUGUAUCAAUAUUCUAUAGUCGCUCCAUGAGUUAUAGUGCAUUCGAGUAUUUUGGCUUUGUGUUUGUACUUAUUUUUCCUUCCAUUUCGUUAUUGUUCCUUUA